RNAcentral lists this transfer RNA (76 nucleotides) under Sphaerodactylus townsendi. Its description in RNAcentral is "tRNA-Ala". It matches the Rfam family "tRNA". From Rfam's summary of the family: Transfer RNA (tRNA) molecules are approximately 80 nucleotides in length. Lineage: Eukaryota; Metazoa; Chordata; Lepidosauria; Squamata; Sphaerodactylidae. The record is from RNAcentral.
GGAAGAGACCAUGGCUCAGUGGUAGAUCAUCUGAUUGGCACGCAGAAGGUCCCAGGUUCAAUCCCAGGCGUUUCCA